RNAcentral lists this ribosomal RNA (406 nucleotides) under uncultured Gracilibacter sp. Its description in RNAcentral is "bacterial SSU rRNA". It matches the Rfam family "Bacterial small subunit ribosomal RNA", at positions 356 to 774 of the family's 1533-position model. The record is from RNAcentral. Lineage: Bacteria; Bacillati; Bacillota; Clostridia; Eubacteriales; Gracilibacteraceae.
GGGGAAUAUUGCGCAAUGGGGGAAACCCUGACGCAGCAACGCCGCGUGCGGGAUGAAGGCCUUCGGGUUGUAAACCGCUUUCAGCCGGGACGAAGGGUUUCUGACGGUAACUGCAGAAGAAGCACCGGCUAACUCCGUGACAGCAGCCGCGGUAAUACGUAGGUGGCGAGCGUUGUCCGGAAUUACUGGGCGUAAAGGGCGCGUAGGCGGCUCUUUAAGUUAGAUGUGAAAACCCAGGGCUCAACCCUGGGAGUGCAUUUAAAACUGAAGGGCUCGAGUGCAGGAGAGGUAAGUGGAAUUCCUAGUGUAGCGGUGAAAUGCGUAGAUAUUAGAAGGAACACCAGUGGCGAAGGCGACUUACUGGACUGUAACUGACGCUGAGGCGCGAAAGCGUGGGGAGCAAACA